GGCUUCCUGGUGGUCUUUGGGACUUCGCAAUCUGGGCACAACAGCCACAAUAUGGGCUGUUUCCCACUCACCACCACACUGAUUUUGGAUACAGCAAGGGAGGAGUCAUGAGGAAAUUUAAAACAGCAACAGAGACAUGGGAAUUAUAAGGAAAAGAACACAGAACACUACUAGCACAUGCUGGUGUCUGACCCGCGUAAAUCAUCUAUCAAAUGGGAACAUUUCCAUCUUGUGUACCGUAUGGUGAUAGAAAUUUG
Molecule: non-coding RNA, 257 nt
Organism: Heterocephalus glaber (naked mole-rat)
Lineage: Eukaryota; Metazoa; Chordata; Mammalia; Rodentia; Bathyergidae
Source: RefSeq, a predicted model, not a curated record